Molecule: ribosomal RNA, 523 nt
Filed under: uncultured beta proteobacterium
Lineage: Bacteria; Pseudomonadati; Pseudomonadota; Betaproteobacteria
Description: bacterial SSU rRNA
Rfam family: Bacterial small subunit ribosomal RNA
Source: RNAcentral
AGAGUUUGAUCCUGGCUCAGAUUGAACGCUGGCGGCAUGCUUUACACAUGCAAGUCGAACGGCAGCGGGGGCUUCGGCCCGCCGGCGAGUGGCGAACGGGUGAGUAAUGCAUCGGAACGUACCCAGUCGUGGGGGAUAACUACGCGAAAGCGUAGCUAAUACCGCAUACGUCCUGAGGGAGAAAGCGGGGGACCGAAAGGCCUCGCGCGAUUGGAGCGGCCGAUGUCGGAUUAGCUAGUUGGUGGGGUAAAGGCCUACCAAGGCGACGAUCCGUAGCGGGUCUGAGAGGAUGAUCCGCCACACUGGGACUGAGACACGGCCCAGGCUCCUACGGGAGGCAGCAGUGGGGAAUUUUGGACAAUGGGGGCAACCCUGAUCCAGCCAUGCCGCGUGMGUGAAGAAGGCCUUCGGGUUGUAAAGCUCUUUCAGACGGAAAGAAAUCGCGCGGGUGAAUAUCCUGCGUGGAUGACGGUACUGUCAGAAGAAGCACCGGCUAACUACGUGCCAGCAGCCGCGGUAAUAC